This 85-nucleotide non-coding RNA is filed under the name Paenibacillus vortex V453. The record is from RNAcentral. Lineage: Bacteria; Bacillati; Bacillota; Bacilli; Caryophanales; Paenibacillaceae.
AGCGCCGUGUGCGAUGAAAGUCGCACGCACGGUGCGGAGAAGGGGAAAAGGCGGUGAUCGUAUCAAACCCUUACCUAUUUCUAUU